UUUAUAUCUAAACAAAGCAAGAUCUGAGCCCUCGAAAAUCGUUGUCAGGCGUUCUGGGUUUCUGGGUUUGCCCAUAUUCCCAGAAUUCAUGCUUGGUCAACGUACUUUGACCGAUCAUAUCUUGCAAUAUAAACAUGAUAUGAGAUUUCUGCAAGUCCCAAAUUAAAGCCCUUACUACAAAGACCAACUCUAUAACAUCAAACACCACUAACACCUAACAUA
Molecule: long non-coding RNA, 222 nt
Filed under: Panax ginseng (ginseng)
Lineage: Eukaryota; Viridiplantae; Streptophyta; Magnoliopsida; Apiales; Araliaceae
Description: long non-coding RNA (PGIN_LNC012866)
Source: RNAcentral